AGAGUUUGAUCCUGGCUCAGAUUAAACGCUGGCGGCAUGCCUUACACAUGCAAGUCGAACGGUAGCGCGGGGCAACCUGGCGACGAGUGGCGAACGGGUGAGUAAAGCAUCGGAACGUGCCCUGGAAUGGGGGAUAACGUAGCGAAAGUUACGCUAAUACCGCAUAUUCUGUGAGCAGGAAAGCAGGGGAUCGCAAGACCUUGCGUUCUGGGAGCGGCCGAUGUCGGAUUAGCUAGUUGGUGGGGUAAAAGCCUACCAAGGCGACGAUCCGUAGCGGGUCUGAGAGGAUGAUCCGCCACACUGGGACUGAGACACGGCCCAGACUCCUACGGGAGGCAGCAGGUGGGGAAUUUUGGACAAUGGGCGGAAGCCUGAUCCAGCCAUGCCGCGUGAGUGAAGAAGGCCUUCGGGUUGUAAAGCUCUUUCGGUGGGGAAGAAAUUGCACGGGUUAAUACCCUGUGUAGAUGACGGUACCCGACUAAGAAGCACCGGCUAACUACGUG
This 503-nucleotide ribosomal RNA is filed under the name uncultured bacterium. RNAcentral's name for it is "bacterial SSU rRNA". It matches the Rfam family "Bacterial small subunit ribosomal RNA", at positions 8 to 507 of the family's 1533-position model. The record is from RNAcentral.